Molecule: transfer RNA, 67 nt
Filed under: Marmota monax (woodchuck)
Lineage: Eukaryota; Metazoa; Chordata; Mammalia; Rodentia; Sciuridae
Description: tRNA.Thr
Rfam family: tRNA (bases 5-64)
About the family: Transfer RNA (tRNA) molecules are approximately 80 nucleotides in length.
Source: RNAcentral
GGAAUGUAGCUCAGUGGUAAAGCACUUGCUGAGUAAGCAUGAGGCCUGGGUUUGAUCCCCAGCACCA